UAUCAUGACAAGAAUUUUGUUUUUCAAAGGCUUUCGUCAAAAAGUCUUCARAAUACGAAGAACAACGCAUGUGUYCAUCCAAACGGUGGCUGGCCUGGUGAAAACAGAUAUCUCGUGUAUUGGUCUGGAUGUGAUGACGAUAGACUUAUACUAGACUUCUUCAAAUUGCCUAAACCGUAAGUCUAAAGAACGCGAUAUUCAGAUAUAAAGAGGGAACGACUUAUGUUUUAGGAAAUGUAAACCGCUAGGUAUAAUAUCGGGGAUGUAGUGUUUAUCAAUAGUCAAUAAAUGAUGAAGAUUACUUCAAAUUCUUCAAAUU
Exaiptasia diaphana is the source of this 319-nucleotide long non-coding RNA. RefSeq lists it as uncharacterized. The transcript is spliced from 2 exons. The record is from RefSeq and is a predicted model, not a curated record. Lineage: Eukaryota; Metazoa; Cnidaria; Anthozoa; Actiniaria; Aiptasiidae.